This 253-nucleotide ribosomal RNA is filed under the name uncultured bacterium. RNAcentral describes it as "partial 16S ribosomal RNA". It matches the Rfam family "Bacterial small subunit ribosomal RNA", at positions 524 to 776 of the family's 1533-position model. The record is from RNAcentral.
UACGUAGGAUGCAAGCAUUGUCCGGAUUUAUUGGGCGUAAAGAGUUCGUAGGCGGUUUGUUAAGUCUAAUGUUAAAGAUCAGGGCUCAACCCUGGGACUGCAUUGGAUACUGGCAGACUGGAGUGUGGUAGAGGUAAGUGGAAUUUCUGGUGUAGCGGUGAAAUGCGUAGAUAUCAGGAAGAACACCAGUGGCGUAGGCGACUUACUGGGCCAUAACUGACGCUGAGGAACGAAAGCCAGGGGAGCAAAUGGG